RNAcentral lists this small nuclear RNA (163 nucleotides) under Echinops telfairi (small Madagascar hedgehog). RNAcentral describes it as "U1 spliceosomal RNA (ENSETEG00000022361.1)". It matches the Rfam family "U1 spliceosomal RNA". Rfam says of the family: U1 is a small nuclear RNA (snRNA) component of the spliceosome (involved in pre-mRNA splicing). Its 5' end forms complementary base pairs with the 5' splice junction, thus defining the 5' donor site of an intron. There are significant differences in sequence and secondary structure between metazoan and yeast U1 snRNAs, the latter being much longer (568 nucleotides as compared to 164 nucleotides in human). Lineage: Eukaryota; Metazoa; Chordata; Mammalia; Afrosoricida; Tenrecidae. The record is from RNAcentral.
AUACUUACCUGGCAGGGGAGACACCAUGAUCACGAAGGUGGUUUUCGCAGGGCGAGGCUCACCCAUUGCACUCCGGAUGUGCUGACCCUGCGACUUCCCCAAAUGUGGGAAACCCGACUGCAUAAUUUGUGGUAGGGGGGGACUGCAUUCGUGCUCUCCCUGU